UUGGUAGGGUAAGGGCCUACCAAGCCAAUGAUCGGUAGCCGGCCUGAGAGGGUGAACGGCCACAUUGGAACUGAGAGACGGUCCAAACUCCUACGGGAGGCAGCAGUGGGGAAUAUUGGGCAAUGGGCGGAAGCCUGACCCAGCAACGCCGCGUGAGGGAAGAAGGUUUUCGGAUUGUAAACCUCUGUUCUUGGGGAAGAGGAGGAGACGGUACCCAAGGAGGAAGCCCCGGCUAACUACGUGCCAGCAGCCGCGGUAAUACGUAGGGGGCGAGCGUUGUCCGGAAUGAUUGGGCGUAAAGGGCGCGCAGGCGGCCUGUCAAGUCAGUAGUGGAAGUCCAUUUUUCAAGGAUGGAAGUGCUAUAGAAACUGAUGGGCUUGAGUGCAGGAGAGGUUAUCGGAAUUCCCGGUGUAGCGGUGAAAUGCGUAGAGAUCGGGAGGAACACCAGUGGCGAAGGCGGGUAACUGGACUGCAACUGACGCUGAGGCGCGAAAGUGUGGGGAGCAAACAGGAUUAGAUACCCUGGUAGUCCACACUGUAAACGAUGAAUGCUAGGUGUAGGGGGUAUCGACCCCUUCUGUGCCGAAGUAAACAC
This 595-nucleotide ribosomal RNA is filed under the name uncultured bacterium. RNAcentral describes it as "bacterial SSU rRNA". It matches the Rfam family "Bacterial small subunit ribosomal RNA", at positions 249 to 858 of the family's 1533-position model. The record is from RNAcentral.